GACUAGUUGCCCGAGCGGCCAACGGGAGGGGACUGUAAAUCCCCAUACCUUCGAAGGUUCAAAUCCGCACUCCAAGCCACCA
Molecule: transfer RNA, 82 nt
Filed under: Actinomycetota bacterium
Lineage: Bacteria; Bacillati; Actinomycetota
Description: Actinobacteria bacterium tRNA-Tyr
Source: RNAcentral